This 67-nucleotide transfer RNA is filed under the name Marmota monax (woodchuck). RNAcentral's name for it is "tRNA.Ala". Lineage: Eukaryota; Metazoa; Chordata; Mammalia; Rodentia; Sciuridae. The record is from RNAcentral.
GGUUGUGGCUCAGUGGUAGAGCGCUUGCCUAGCAUGUGUGAAACACUUGGUUUAAUCCCAGGAACCA